ACUAAGCGUACACGGUGGAUGCCCUGGCAGUCAGAGGCGAUGAAGGACGUGCUAAUCUGCGAUAAGCGCCGGUAAGGUGAUAUGAACCGUUAUAACCGGCGAUUUCCGAAUGGGGAAACCCAGUGUGAUUCGUCACACUAUCAUUAACUGAAUCCAUAGGUUAAUGAGGCGAACCGGGGGAACUGAAACAUCUAAGUACCCCGAGGAAAAGAAAUCAACCGAGAUUCCCCCAGUAGCGGCGAGCGAACGGGGAGGAGCCCAGAGCCUGAAUCAGCAUGUGUGUUAGUGGAAGCGUCUGGAAAGGCGCGCGAUACAGGGUGACAGCCCCGUACACAAAAGCGCAUGUGUUGUGAGCUCGAUGAGUAGGGCGGGACACGUGGUAUCCUGUCUGAAUAUGGGGGGACCAUCCUCCAAGGCUAAAUACUCCUGACUGACCGAUAGUGAACCAGUACCGUGAGGGAAAGGCGAAAAGAACCCCGGCGAGGGGAGUGAAAAAGAACCUGAAACCGUGUACGUACAAGCAGUGGGAGCCCCACCACUAAGCCAGUGGUGAACUCCACAUACGCAUCCUUUGCUGAGGAUACGGUUAACGGAGCGCAAGCGACGUUCAACCGCAAAAGAAGCAGAGGGGGCUUAGUGGUGGGGUGACUGCGUACCUUUUGUAUAAUGGGUCAGCGACUUAUAUUCUGUAGCAAGGUUAACCGUAUAGGGGAGCCGGAGGGAAACCGAGUCUUAAUUGGGCGUUAAGUUGCAGGGUAUAGACCCGAAACCCGGUGAUCUAGCCAUGGGCAGGUUGAAGGUUGGGUAACACUAACUGGAGGACCGAACCGACUAAUGUUGAAAAAUUAGCGGAUGACCUGUGGCUGGGGGUGAAAGGCCAAUCAAACCGGGAGAUAGCUGGUUCUCCCCGAAAGCUAUUUAGGUAGCGCCUCGUGAAUUCAUCUCCGGGGGUAGAGCACUGUUUCGGCUAGGGGGCCAUCCCGGCUUACCAACCCGAUGCAAACUGCGAAUACCGGAGAAUGUUAUCACGGGAGACACACGGCGGGUGCUAACGUCCGUCGUGAAGAGGGAAACAACCCAGACCGCCAGCUAAGGUCCCAAAGUCAUGGUUAAGUGGGAAACGAUGUGGGAAGGCCCAGACAGCCAGGAUGUUGGCUUAGAAGCAGCCAUCAUUUAAAGAAAGCGUAAUAGCUCACUGGUCGAGUCGGCCUGCGCGGAAGAUGUAACGGGGCUAAACCAUGCACCGAAGCUGCGGCAGCGAGUAAUAGCUCACUGGUCGAGUCGGCCUGCGCGGAAGAUGUAACGGGGCUAAACCAUGCACCGAAGCUGCGGCAGCGAACGUAUCACUUAAAGCGAUUCAGCGGGUUACGAUUGACGGAGCGAAGCGACGUCAAAGCGUAUACAAAGUCGAGUCGGUUUAAGGAUACGUUCGUUGGGUAGGGGAGCGUUCUGUAAGCCUGUGAAGGUGUGUCGUGAGGCAUGCUGGAGGUAUCAGAAGUGCGAAUGCUGUUGGGUAGGGGAGCGUUCUGUAAGCCUGUGAAGGUGGCCUGUGAGGGUUGCUGGAGGUAUCAGAAGUGCGAAUGCUGACAUAAGUAACGAUAAAGCGGGUGAAAAGCCCGCUCGCCGGAAGACCAAGGGUUCCUGUCCAACGUUAAUCGGGGCAGGGUGAGUCGACCCCUAAGGCGAGGCCGAAAGGCGUAGUCGAUGGGAAACGGGUUAAUAUUCCCGUACUUGGUGUUACUGCGAAGGGGGGACGGAGAAGGCUAUGUUGGCCGGGCGACGGUUGUCCCGGUUUAAGCGUGUAGGUGUGUGUUCCAGGUAAAUCCGGUUCACUUUAACACUGAGGCGUGAUGACGAGGCACUACGGUGCUGAAGCAACAAAUGCCCUGCUUCCAGGAAAAGCCUCUAAGCAUCAGGUAACAUCAAAUCGUACCCCAAACCGACACAGGUGGUCAGGUAGAGAAUACCAAGGCGCUUGAGAGAACUCGGGUGAAGGAACUAGGCAAAAUGGUGCCGUAACUUCGGGAGAAGGCACGCUGACAUGUAGGUGAAGUGAUUUACUCAUGGAGCUGAAGUCAGUCGAAGAUACCAGCUGGCUGCAACUGUUUAUUAAAAACACAGCACUGUGCAAACACGAAAGUGGACGUAUACGGUGUGACGCCUGCCCGGUGCCGGAAGGUUAAUUGAUGGGGUCAGCGCAAGCGAAGCUCCUGAUCGAAGCCCCGGUAAACGGCGGCCGUAACUAUAACGGUCCUAAGGUAGCGAAAUUCCUUGUCGGGUAAGUUCCGACCUGCACGAAUGGCGUAAUGAUGGCCAGGCUGUCUCCACCCGAGACUCAGUGAAAUUGAACUCGCUGUGAAGAUGCAGUGUACCCGCGGCAAGACGGAAAGACCCCGUGAACCUUUACUAUAGCUUGACACUGAACAUUGAGCCUUGAUGUGUAGGAUAGGUGGGAGGCUUUGAAGCGUGGACGCCAGUCUGCAUGGAGCCGACCUUGAAAUACCACCCUUUAAUGUUUGAUGUUCUAACGUGGACCCGUGAUCCGGGUUGCGGACAGUGUCUGGUGGGUAGUUUGACUGGGGCGGUCUCCUCCUAAAGAGUAACGGAGGAGCACGAAGGUUGGCUAAUCCUGGUCGGACAUCAGGAGGUUAGUGCAAUGGCAUAAGCCAGCUUGACUGCGAGCGUGACGGCGCGAGCAGGUGCGAAAGCAGGUCAUAGUGAUCCGGUGGUUCUGAAUGGAAGGGCCAUCGCUCAACGGAUAAAAGGUACUCCGGGGAUAACAGGCUGAUACCGCCCAAGAGUUCAUAUCGACGGCGGUGUUUGGCACCUCGAUGUCGGCUCAUCACAUCCUGGGGCUGAAGUAGGUCCCAAGGGUAUGGCUGUUCGCCAUUUAAAGUGGUACGCGAGCUGGGUUUAGAACGUCGUGAGACAGUUCGGUCCCUAUCUGCCGUGGGCGCUGGAGAACUGAGGGGGGCUGCUCCUAGUACGAGAGGACCGGAGUGGACGCAUCACUGGUGUUCGGGUUGUCAUGCCAAUGGCACUGCCCGGUAGCUAAAUGCGGAAGAGAUAAGUGCUGAAAGCAUCUAAGCACGAAACUUGCCCCGAGAUGAGUUCUCCCUGAGACUUAAAGUCUCCUGAAGGAACGUUGAAGACGACGACGUUGAUAGGCCGGGUGUGUAAGCGCAGCGAUGCGUUGAGCUAACCGGUACUAAUGAACCGUGAGGCUUAACC
Molecule: ribosomal RNA, 3231 nt
Filed under: Salmonella enterica subsp. enterica serovar Derby
Lineage: Bacteria; Pseudomonadati; Pseudomonadota; Gammaproteobacteria; Enterobacterales; Enterobacteriaceae
Description: bacterial LSU rRNA
Rfam family: Bacterial large subunit ribosomal RNA
Source: RNAcentral